UACAGCCAUAGGACGUUGAAACACCGGUUCUCGUACGAUCACCGAAGUUAAGCAACAUCUAACCUGGUCAGUACCUAGAUGAGUGAUCAUAAGGGAAAAC
This is a non-coding RNA of Acanthosepion pharaonis, 100 nucleotides long. The record is from the annotation of a GenBank genome assembly. NCBI's taxonomy places the organism in Eukaryota, Metazoa, Mollusca, Cephalopoda, Sepiida, Sepiidae.